RNAcentral lists this ribosomal RNA (505 nucleotides) under uncultured bacterium. Its description in RNAcentral is "partial 16S ribosomal RNA". It matches the Rfam family "Bacterial small subunit ribosomal RNA", at positions 28 to 507 of the family's 1533-position model. The record is from RNAcentral.
GACGAACGCUGGCGGCGUGCCUAAUACAUGCAAGUAGAACGCACAGUUUAUACCGUAGCUUGCUACACCAUAAACUGUGAGUUGCGAACGGGUGAGUAACGCGUAGGUAACCUGCCUGGUAGCGGGGUAUAACUAUUGGAAACGAUAGCUAAUACCGCAUAAUAUUGAUUAUUGCAUGAUAAUUGAUUGAAAGAUGCUAUUGCAUAACUACCAGAUGGACCUGCGUUGUAUUAGCUAGUAGGUGAGGUAACGGCUCACCUAGGCGACGAUACAUAGCCGACCUGAGAGGGUGAUCGGCCACACUGGGACUGAGACACGGCCCAGACUCCUACGGGAGGCAGCAGUAGGGAAUCUUCGGCAAUGGACGAAAGUCUGACCGAGCAACGCCGCGUGAGUGAAGAAGGUUUUCGGAUCGUAAAGCUCUGUUGUAAGAGAAGAACGGGUGUGAGAGUGGAAAGUUCACACUGUGACGGUAUCUUACCAGAAAGGGACGGCUAACUACGUG